CCUUGUGGGAAUGAUAGAAGGAAGGCGGAGCUCAGACCAGGAGAAAAUGGCCGCCGCUCCUGACGUCACUACACGGCCAGGGAACCUAUUGCUGCAGCCGGACUGGUCUACAAGAAAAUGGCCGCCGGCCUCCUGCACUGAGGACAUGUAUUGUAAUAUUCAUUAGAGAGGGCGGGGCUGUGGGAGGUGUGUUGGAGGGGAGGGGCCAGUAACUAGGAAGCGGCCUGUGCCAAUCAUUCCCUACUUCCGGUCACUGCAUUCCAUUCCACACACAGGAAGCCUCGGUGUCCGUAGAGAUCAGGGUAAUACAGUAGUGAAGACGACCUUUGGUGAGUGUGAGACACCCAGCAGCCAUCCUCGUGUGUCAGGUUGACUAAGCAGGACCCACAGCCCCAUCACGGUGCCUCCACCUCACUCACUGAUACAUGAGAGACACAGUGACCAGAAGAUCCUGGAACUCACCAACAAGAUCAUUCAGCUGCUGACAGGAGAGGAGGGGGAGUAUAUAGAGGAACACACGGUUCUGUACAAGAACCGGCCCCUCACAUCACUGG
This is a long non-coding RNA of Pseudophryne corroboree (corroboree frog), 554 nucleotides long. RefSeq lists it as uncharacterized. The record is from RefSeq and is a predicted model, not a curated record. The transcript is spliced from 3 exons. Lineage: Eukaryota; Metazoa; Chordata; Amphibia; Anura; Myobatrachidae.